AUUGAACGCUGGCGGCAUGCUUUACACAUGCAAGUCGAACGGCAGCGGGGUAGUGCUUGCACUACUGCCGGCGAGUGGCGAACGGGUGAGUAAUAUAUCGGAACGUACCGAGUAAUGGGGGAUAACCAAUCGAAAGAUUGGCUAAUACCGCAUACGUCCUGAGGGAGAAAGCGGGGGAUCGCAAGACCUCGCGUUAUUCGAGCGGCCGAUAACUGAUUAGCUAGUUGGUGGGGUAAAGGCCUACCAAGGCGACGAUCAGUAGCGGGUCUGAGAGGACGAUCCGCCACACUGGGACUGAGACACGGCCCAGACUCCUACGGGAGGCAGCAGUGGGGAAUUUUGGACAAUGGGGGCAACCCUGAUCCAGCCAUGCCGCGUGUAUGAAGAAGGCCUUCGGGUUGUAAAGUACUUUUGUUAGGGAAGAAAAGGGAAGUGCUAAUACCACUUUUUGCCGACGGUACCUAAAGAAUAAGCACCGGCUAACUACGUG
Molecule: ribosomal RNA, 490 nt
Filed under: uncultured bacterium
Lineage: Bacteria
Description: partial 16S ribosomal RNA
Rfam family: Bacterial small subunit ribosomal RNA
Source: RNAcentral